AUGCAGGAAAAUGGUGUGAAUUGUGGUGUUGUAGAGUGGGUUGAUGGGCCUUGGCCUCCUGUUCUUCAGAGAUGUCUGUCCAAGCUACGGGAAAUGUUCCAUGAGCAGAACUGUGGAAGGGUACUUGACAAGGAGAAGUUUUAGAAGGAGUUGGCCAAGCUUAAGAUUGAAAAUGACAAGCUUUGCAUUGAGUACACCAAGCUUAUUGAUGAUGUAUCCAAGAUGUUUGAUUGGCAGGAUGGUAGGGUGGGGAAGGUGAACCAGAAACAAGUGGAGGAGGAAGAACUUGAGAAGAAGAGGAAGGAGAUAGAGGAGAAAGCUAUGAUGGAGGUGCAGAUGGAAAAGCUUAAACUUGCAAAAGAGUAG
Molecule: ribosomal RNA, 366 nt
Filed under: Triticum aestivum (bread wheat)
Lineage: Eukaryota; Viridiplantae; Streptophyta; Magnoliopsida; Poales; Poaceae
Description: partial small subunit ribosomal RNA
Source: RNAcentral